AAGGGGGGAAGGAAUUUGAUUCUUUACAGCCCUUUCCAUACCUUAUAUUAUUUCCUUCGGUUGGGUUCGCUUUUUGGUAGGAAAGGCGGUAGUAGAGUUGCUAGAGGUCUUUCGCGUAAUUCUACUCUUUGUUUUCCAAGCAGGGACGCCCACAGUUCCCUGCUCUAACUCCUCAGAUUUCCCUUUGCUUUCUUUAUUACUUAUCGCACGUGCCCAGUCUCUACGUCACUUCCCAAACCUAAACCGCCUUUCCCAGAUCUAUGAAAGGUGAAACUUUGAAGGUCCACAACAGGUAACAUAAAUGAACAAGUUUAUUUUGUAUUCGAGCUGCUGAGGGCCGGAGCUCUUAUGGAUACAUUACUUCAUUGUUCUAUAAGGCGUUGCACUAAGUCCAUACUUGGAUAGGGUCGCGAAGUACAAAGAUCCGGUCUUUGACAACCGUCGCAUUAGUUUCAAUUAAUAUGUUACUACUAUGGAGAGACUAAGCUCUAUUUCAGAGAUUGGACUCUCUUACUGUGAUUAGCCCCCACUAGUAAGAAGUUGUUCCCGAGCCAGGUUCCCUGGAUCCACGUGUUCCUAGUCGGGCCUAAAUGGAUGAAUGAAGUAGGGGGCGGACAUCACUAUAAAGAAAGAAGCCCGUCCACACACACCUCUUUUUAGCCGACUAGAGCCGGAUCCACUACACGGCUAGAAUCAGAGAAAGAUUGAGAAAUAAAUUAAGCAAGUCAUAUUAUGCUUUAGUUCCAUAAGAAAGCCUGCAAGCGGUCUAACCAGUGCUCAAGUAAAGAAGGAGUGAAUUUAUCUACUGAACUUUAAGAAGGUAUCUAAGAACCCUUUUAUUUUCCCAGAGUCUCGUCCAUGAGCUGCGGAUAUGAGAGGUCUUUCUAUCUACGACUCACUCUUGGUCUCGAAAAAAAAUUCAAUUAAUUUGACUUGGUUCACUCCGUCCGUAGACUCUAUCGACCCUGGAAUUGGCAGACGUACAAGCACCGGUCUGGUACUCUUCGCGUGGCUUGGUAAGCGAGAACUUCCGGAAUGCAAGGCAUAUCUAGCUUUCACUCAACUAUAUGAUACUAGUUGGUAUCAGCACAUGAAGGCUAUAGCAAAAACUCUUAUUCGUCAUCAACAUGAUAGGACCAGAGCUUCUAUUUACUCAAAAGCUCUUAAUGUAACAGAAAAGACUGGCACCUCUUGCUUAUUCAAGACC
This 1207-nucleotide long non-coding RNA is filed under the name Medicago truncatula (barrel medic). RNAcentral describes it as "long non-coding RNA (MTRU_LNC005365)". Lineage: Eukaryota; Viridiplantae; Streptophyta; Magnoliopsida; Fabales; Fabaceae. The record is from RNAcentral.